UCUGUGAAGGUCUGUGAGGGUCUGUGAGGGUCUGUGAUGGUCUGUGAGGGUCUGUGAAGGUCUGUGAGGGUCUGUGAGGGUCUGUGAAGGUCUGUGAGGGUCUGUGAAGGUCUGUGAGGGUCUGUGAGGGUCUGUGAGGGUCUGUGAGGGUCUGUGAAGGUCUGUGAGGGUCUGUGAAGGUCUUUGAAGGUCUGUGAGGGUCUUUGAAGGUCUGUGAGGGUCUGUGAGGGUCUGUGAAGGUCUGUGAAGGUCUGUGAGGGUCUGUGAGGGUCUGUGAGGGUCUGUGAAGGUCUGUGAGGGUCUGUGAGGGUCUGUGAGGGUCUGUGAGGGUCUGUGAGGGUCUGUGAAGGUCUGUGAGGGUCUGUGAAGGUCUGUGAAGUUCUGUGAGGGUCUGUGAGGGUCUGUGAGGGUCUGUGAAGGUCUGUGAAGGUCUUUGAAGGUCUGUGAGGGUCUGUGAGGGUCUGUGAGGGUCUGUGAGGGUCUGUGAAGGUCUGUGAGGGUCUGUGAGGGUCUGUGAAGGUCUGUGAGGGUCUGUGAGGGUCUGUGAAGGUCUGUGAAGGUCUUUGAAGGUCUGUGAGGGUCUGUGAGGGUCUGUGAGGGUCUGUGAGGGUCUGUGAGGGUCUGUGAAGGUCUGUGAAGGUCUGUGAGGGUCUGUGAGGGUCUGUGAGGGUCUGUGAGGGUCUGUGAAGGUCUGUGAGGGUCUGUGAAGGUCUUUGAAGGUCUGUGAGGGUCUGUGAGGGUCUGUGAAGUUCUGUGAGGGUCUGUGAAGGUCUGUGAGGGUCUGUGAGGGUCUGUGAAGGUCUGUGAGGGUCUGUGAGGGUCUGUGAAGGUCUGUGAGGGUCUGUGAAGGUCUGUGAGGGUCUGUGAGGGUCUGUGAGGGUCUGUGAGGGUCUGUGAAGGUCUGUGAGGGUCUGUGAAGGUCUGUGAAGGUCUGUGAAGGUCUGUGAGGGUCUGUGAGGGUCUGUGAGGGUCUGUGAGGGUCUGUGAAGGUCUGUGAGGGUCUGUGAGGGUCUGUGAGGGUCUGUGAAGGUCUGUGAGGGUCUGUGAAGGUCUGUGAAGGUCUGUGAGGGUCUGUGAAGGUCUGUGAAGGUCUGUGAAGGUCUGUGAAGGUCUGUGAGGGUCUGUGAGGGUCUGUGAAGGUCUUUGAAGGUCUGUGAGGGUCUGUGAGGGUCUGUGAAGGUCUGUGAAGGUCUGUGAGGGUCUGUGAAGGUCUGUGAGGGUCUGUGAAGGUCUGUGAGGGUCUGUGAGGGUCUGUGAAGGUCUGUGAGGGUCUGUGAAGGUCUGUGAGGGUCUGUGAAGAUCUUAUAUCCCAAGCUGAGGAGCUCAUAUUUUAUUCCUUAUUCUGUGUUCUCCUAUUUUAUGAUAAGCAAUGGGGCCUGGUGGUGGCAGUGGCACACUCCUUCAAUUCUCGGACUCGGGAGGCAGGUGCAGGUGGAUCUCUGAGUUCAAGAUCUACAGAGUGAUUUCCAUGACAGCCAGGGCUACACAGAGAAAUCCUAUGCGGAAGCAAACAAACAAACAAAAAAACUCAAAAACUAACCAACCAACCAAGCAAACACAAAACAAAUAAAAACAAAAACCAAACGAAAAGAUAAGCUAUGGGUACUUGGGUGGAGUUGGCUGGGUGCUUCUAUAGCCAAGGAUUUCAAAGGCGGAAAGAAGCUUGUUGGACAGUUUUGUGUUAGGUUGCUUUCAUAGCUAUCCUUAGCUUUCUAGGUGGGACUCAGAACGUGUUCUUGAGACCCUAUCCCAGUUGAUGCUACGUCAAGAUAACGUAUUAAUUAAUACCACGUAUUAUUCUUAAGGAGAUUAAUCUGGUAACACAGCGGUCACCCAGGGUCACAAGAAGUAAUAUAAUUUCUUUUGAGCCUUUAAAAUAUAUCUACUCAUUUUAUGCGUAUAUGUUGUCCCGGUUCGUAUGUGGCCGCGGGCGGCAACAAUAUGUGUGGGCGCACCUGUGCCACCAGGGCAUGUGGAGCUCAAAGGACAACUUGUGGAAGUCAGCUUUCUCUUCUGCUUGACCAUGUGAUCAGACACGGUACUUUCCAAUGUCAAACAGAAUAACUGCAAGCUUUCUUACCAGAGAAAGUACCUCAAACUAACCGCCUUCAGCCGGCCUCCAUUUCAGUUGGAUAAACAUCGUUCAUUUUUUCAUGGACAGUACAGCAUUACAUAAAAGCAAUUUAGGGACCAGACUUUUACUUUGACUUCCCUGCGGCACAAGAUUGCUGCCCCCUUUAAAACUUCUGGGGUAACAGCUGGUGUGGAUGAGAAGUUUCAGUUCCAAAGUCGCAGACCUGCGCGUCCCGUGACUCCUGUAAGGAAAACUGGAUUUGAGGCUGGAAAGACGGCCCAGCGUUAAGAACACAUGCUACUAUUGCAGAGGACCAGGUUUUGGUUCCCAACACUCCUGUGAGGCAAUGUUGUGUGCGCGAGUACAUACACAGAACUAAAAAUUUAAAAAGGUGAAAGUUGAAUAUAAGAUACCUGUUAUGCUUUUUUGUUUUUUAAAAGUUUUAUUUAUUUGGACAGUUUUUGAGAGUUGGUCCUUGUCUUCUGUCUUGUGAGGAGGGUCUCUCUUGUUUCUGCGACUACACAGUGUACCCCAGGCUAGCUGGACCACCAACUUCUAGGCGACUCCUCUGUCUCUGCCUCCCAUCAUGCCCUAGGAGGGCUGGGAUUAUGGGAGGGACCUGAAAAGACGCAUCUCCCUGGCCUUGCUGUUCAUUGUUGUCUCCCUGGUGUAUUUGGGGAGUUUCUAUGAAGGAUAAAAGUCAAAUAAGACUGGCUUGAUGAUGAUGAUGUUGAUGAUGAUGAUGAUUGCUUUUAUUUAGACAAAGUCUUUCUGUGUAUCCCUGGCUGUCCUGGAACUCGCUUUGUAGACCAGGCUGGCCUCAAACUGAGAGAUUCAGCUGUCUCUCUCUCUCAAGUCCUGGGAUUAAAGGCAUGGAUCAACACACCUAGCUUAAUCAUUAAUCUUUAAGCUGACUAAUUUUUAUGGUUUUGUCAUCUGAAUUUAUAUAUAAGCUGUUAAAUAUAUUAACUGUUAAAAUAGAAUACAAGGUUAUUAGAGAAAAUGGUUUAUUGCUCUACAACUCUAGCCCAUCAUUUUAUUUAAAUCAUAAAUAACAAACAGGAUAUACUAUUGAGUAUAUCAUCUCAAAAGGAGGAACUCAGGUGGCUUGGCUUGGCAGAGUGCUAGCCUAGCACGCGCAGAGCCUAGGUUUGAUUCCCAGAAUCACAUUAGCCAAACAUGGGGCUUAUGUUUAUAAGCUCAGCCUUCAGGAAAUGGAAGCAGUAAAAUCAGGAAUUCAAAGUCUCAAGAUCAAGGACAUCAUGGGGUAAGUCAAAGUUUCAAAAACAAACAGAAUGCUAUGGUACACACCUAUAAUCCACUUCUCAGCAAGUGGAGGCAGGAGG
This is a long non-coding RNA of Apodemus sylvaticus (European woodmouse), 3420 nucleotides long. RefSeq lists it as uncharacterized. NCBI's taxonomy places the organism in Eukaryota, Metazoa, Chordata, Mammalia, Rodentia, Muridae. The record is from RefSeq and is a predicted model, not a curated record. The transcript is spliced from 10 exons.